RNAcentral lists this unclassified non-coding RNA (222 nucleotides) under Hevea brasiliensis (rubber tree). The record is from RNAcentral. Lineage: Eukaryota; Viridiplantae; Streptophyta; Magnoliopsida; Malpighiales; Euphorbiaceae.
GUUGCAGGAUCAUAACUCAGUAAACGACCAUUAGGCUUACCCUCUAAAAAGUCCCACGUGACAUCAUGAAGGUAGUACUUGCACGAAGCAUCUGUAAAAUAGAUAAUUCCAUCAUCUGCUAUAUCUACACCAUCUGCGAGUUUGAAUUUUACACCGUCUGCCUCAUCUGUCAGCAACUCCACUGCACCUUCUGCACUUAUCUUCAGCAGCCCCUUAUAGGCA